CCCUUAGAUGUUCUGGGCCGCACGCGCGCUACACUGAUACAUUCAACGAGUUUCUUCCUGGUCCGAGAGGAAUGGGUAACCUUUUGAAAGUGCAUCGUGAUAGGGAUAGACUAUUGCAAUUAUUGGUCUUCAACGAGGAAUUCCUAGUAGACGUAGUUCAUCAGACUGCAUCGAUUACGUCCCUGCCCUUUGUACACACCGCCCGUCGCUCCUACCGAUGAAUCGUCCGGUGAAGUUCACAGAGUGGCGGUUCGUGGAGUUGCUCGCGAAGUGAAAUGGACCUCACGAUUUAGAGGAAGGAGAAGUCGUAACA
Molecule: ribosomal RNA, 313 nt
Filed under: uncultured eukaryote
Lineage: Eukaryota
Description: partial 18S ribosomal RNA
Rfam family: Eukaryotic small subunit ribosomal RNA
Source: RNAcentral